Molecule: ribosomal RNA, 695 nt
Filed under: Brevibacterium epidermidis
Lineage: Bacteria; Bacillati; Actinomycetota; Actinomycetes; Micrococcales; Brevibacteriaceae
Description: bacterial SSU rRNA
Rfam family: Bacterial small subunit ribosomal RNA
Source: RNAcentral
AGCGUGCGGGAUGACGGCCUUCGGGUUGUAAACCGCUUUCAGCAGGGAAGAAGCGAAAGUGACGGUACCUGCAGAAGAAGUACCGGCUAACUACGUGCCAGCAGCCGCGGUAAUACGUAGGGUACGAGCGUUGUCCGGAAUUAUUGGGCGUAAAGAGCUCGUAGGUGGUUGGUCACGUCUGCUGUGGAAACGCAACGCUUAACGUUGCGCGUGCAGUGGGUACGGGCUGACUAGAGUGCAGUAGGGGAGUCUGGAAUUCCUGGUGUAGCGGUGAAAUGCGCAGAUAUCAGGAGGAACACCGGUGGCGAAGGCGGGACUCUGGGCUGUAACUGACACUGAGGAGCGAAAGCAUGGGGAGCGAACAGGAUUAGAUACCCUGGUAGUCCAUGCCGUAAACGUUGGGCACUAGGUGUGGGGGACAUUCCACGUUCUCCGCGCCGUAGCUAACGCAUUAAGUGCCCCGCCUGGGGAGUACGGUCGCAAGGCUAAAACUCAAAGGAAUUGACGGGGGCCCGCACAAGCGGCGGAGCAUGCGGAUUAAUUCGAUGCAACGCGAAGAACCUUACCAAGGCUUGACAUACACUGGACCGUUCUGGAAACAGUUCUUCUCUUUGGAGCUGGUGUACAGGUGGUGCAUGGUUGUCGUCAGCUCGUGUCGUGAGAUGUUGGGUUAAGUCCCGCAACGAGCGCAACCC